Molecule: transfer RNA, 73 nt
Filed under: Caudoviricetes sp.
Lineage: Duplodnaviria; Heunggongvirae; Uroviricota; Caudoviricetes
Description: tRNA-Phe
Rfam family: tRNA
About the family: Transfer RNA (tRNA) molecules are approximately 80 nucleotides in length. Their secondary structure includes four short double-helical elements and three loops (D, anti-codon, and T loops).
Source: RNAcentral
GCCAAGAUAGCAAAGAUGGUCUAUGCAGAGGACUGAAAAUCCUUAGAUGUCCGAUCGUUACGGACUCUUGGCA